Molecule: ribosomal RNA, 481 nt
Filed under: uncultured bacterium
Lineage: Bacteria
Description: bacterial SSU rRNA
Rfam family: Bacterial small subunit ribosomal RNA
Source: RNAcentral
AUUGAACGCUGGCGGAAUGCUUUACACAUGCAAGUCGAACGGCAGCACGGACCUCGGUCUGGUGGCGAGUGGCGAACGGGUGAGUAAUAUAUCGGAACGUGCCCAGUCGUGGGGGAUAACGUAGUGAAAAUUACGCUAAUACCGCAUACGAUCUAAGGAUGAAAGCGGGGGAUCGCAAGACCUCGCGCGAUUGGAGCGGCCGAUAUCAGAUUAGGUAGUUGGUGAGGUAAAGGCUCACCAAGCCAACGAUCUGUAGCUGGUCUGAGAGGACGACCAGCCACACUGGAACUGAGACACGGUCCAGACUCCUACGGGAGGCAGCAGUGGGGAAUUUUGGACAAUGGACGCAAGUCUGAUCCAGCCAUUCCGCGUGCAGGACGAAGGCCUUCGGGUGUAACUGCUUUGUACAGAACGAAAAGGUCCCUAUUAAUACUGGGGGCUCAUGACGGUACUGUAAGAAUAAGCACCGGCUAACUACGUG